GCCUUCGUGGUGUAGUGGUCAGCACACUGAGCCGUUAUUUCAGAGGUCCGUGGUUCGAUUCCCGGCGAAGGCG
This 73-nucleotide transfer RNA is filed under the name Stegodyphus dumicola. RNAcentral's name for it is "tRNA-Asn". It matches the Rfam family "tRNA". Rfam says of the family: Transfer RNA (tRNA) molecules are approximately 80 nucleotides in length. RNAcentral also lists the same sequence under 1 other name. Lineage: Eukaryota; Metazoa; Arthropoda; Arachnida; Araneae; Eresidae. The record is from RNAcentral.